AUAAACUCUUUAAGAAAUAUUCAUAAACUGUUCAAUUGUUACGUGAAAAAUACCCCAUAACUUAAAAGUUAUAACCAGUUGGUAAAAAAACACACACAUUGAAGGUUCUAUGCAUGUUCUAAGUUAUUAUGUUGAACGCAUUAAUUAAAAAAUAUAUGCUACUUUGCAUAAUUUAUAUUUUUAUAUAAAACAUCUUCUUAUUGCUUUAAAGAAGUU
Molecule: long non-coding RNA, 216 nt
Filed under: Brassica rapa (field mustard)
Lineage: Eukaryota; Viridiplantae; Streptophyta; Magnoliopsida; Brassicales; Brassicaceae
Description: long non-coding RNA (BRAP_LNC001380)
Source: RNAcentral